Molecule: RNA transcript, 1880 nt
Organism: Rattus norvegicus (Norway rat)
Lineage: Eukaryota; Metazoa; Chordata; Mammalia; Rodentia; Muridae
Gene: Hmgb1-ps2
Gene name: high mobility group box 1, pseudogene 2
Exons: 1
Source: RefSeq, marked provisional
AUUGUUCUUUUUUUAUCUGUUAUUAGUUUGGAAUUCUUUGAAUAUUGAUAUUAUCAAUUAUAUGGAUUCUAAAUGUGUUUUUAUUUGUAAAAAAUAUCACACAAAUAUAUUUUUAUGAAAGAGUUUUUAAUUUUAACAAUCAUGGUGGUUAUAACUAGUGUUAUAGCUCACACCUAUAAUCCUAGCACUUUAGAGACCUAUGUAGGAAGAUUACCCUGAGUUCAUAGCCAGUUUCAGCUACACGAUGAGUUCUAGGCCAAGCGGGCUACAGCGUGAGAUGCUCUCUCAAAAGAAAAAAAGGCAGUAGUAAUAAUAAUAAUAAUAACAAUAAAAUGGCUAAUUUUGGCAGUACAUCGAGCUCCGUAGAGACAGCGCCAGGGCAAGCAAGAGCUGAACCGGCACUGGGCGACUCUGUGCCUCGCGGACUCGCUGAGGAAAAUCCAGUAAACAUGGGCAAAGGAGAUCCUAAGAAGCCGAGAGGCAAAAUGUCCUCAUAUGCAUUCUUUGUGCAAACCUGCUGGGAGGAGCACAAGAAGAAUCACGUGGAUGCUUCUGUCAUCUUCUCAGAGUUCUCCAAGAAGUGCUCAGGGAGGUGGAAGACCAUGUCUGCUAAAAAAAAGGGGGAAAUUUGAAGAUAAGGCAAAGACUGACAAGGCUCGUUAUGAAAGAGAAAUGGAAGCCUACAUCCCUCCCAAAGGGGAGACCAAAGAGAAGUUCAAGGACCCCAAUGACCCCAAGAGGCCUCCGUCGGCCUUCUUCUUGUUCUGUUCUGAGUAGCGCCCAAAAAUCAAAGGCGAGCAUCCUGGCUUAUCCAUUGGUGAUGUUGCAAAGAAACGAGGAGAGAUGUGGAACAACGCUGCCGCGGAUGACAAGCAGCCCUAUGGGAAGAUGGCCGCCAAGCUGAAGGAGAAGUACGAGAAGGAUAUUGCUGCCUACAGAGCUAAAGGGAAACCUGAUGCACUGAGAAAGGGGGUUAUCAAGGCUGAAAAGAGCAAGUAAAAGAAGGACGAGGAAGACCGUAAGGAAAAUGAAGAGGAUGAAGAAGAGGAAGGUGAAGGUGAAAAAGAUGACUAUGAAUAAGUUGGUUCCACCGUAGUUUUUUUCUUGUCUACAAAAGCAUUUAUCGCCCCUGUACAUAACUCACUCCUUUUAAAGAAAAAAAAAAUGAAAUGUAAGGCUGUGUAAGAUUUGUUUUUAAACUGUCCUGUGCCUUUUUUGUAUAGUUAACACACUACCAAAUGUGUCUUUAGAUAGCCCUGUCCUGGUCGUGUUCUCAAUAGCCACUAACCUUGCCUGGUACAGUCUGGGGGUUGUCAAUUGGCAUGGAAAUUUAAAGCAGGUUCUUGUUGGUGCACAGCACAAAUUAUUUAUAUAUGGGGACAGUAGUUUGGUUUUUGGUUUUUGGGUUUUUUUUUUGUUUUGUUUUGUUUUGUUUUUCCUUUGGUUUUAUUUGGGUUUUUUUUUCUUUCAUCUUCAGUUGUCUCUGAUGCAGCUUAUAUGAAGAUAAUUGUUCUGUUAACUGAAUACUGCUCUGAAAUUGAAAAAGUAAUCAAGGCUGUUUUGUUGACAUUCAAUGCUUCUAAGUAAAUACAGGUUGUUUUUUUUUUAAAAUCUUGAUUGUCAGCUUGAUUGGAUUGAGACGCACCAAAGAGAGUACUGAAGCACACCUUCUCGCUGUGUCCAAGAGAGUAUCUCCAAGGGUUACUAGAUCCUGAGGGCUCUGAUCUAAGUAAUGUUUAAUCUAGUCAUAGGCUCUUCGCGGAAGCCAGAUAGCCACAGACCAAACACUCUGAAACCUGGGAACAAAAUAAGUCCUUUCUCUUUUACAUUCUUCCUGUCAGAUUUUUGUUCCAAUAAACAAAGUUUGACUAACACAAGGA